UGCGGUACGGUGAAAGUGAAAAUCACACUUGAGGUUACACCAUUUUGAUCUGUGAAAGAGCAAAGCUUUCAGAUCAACCUUGUAAGAAGAUAGUCCUUGAGAUCCAUUGAUUCACAUGGAUGCUAUGUUACAAACCUGAAGACCAAAGGACCUGCAUGACCCUCGUGCUCUCUACACUUACAGUCAAACAUGUAAUCUGAUCUUGCCGGGUCGUGGUUGGACCGGCCUGUCCGGAUA
Arabidopsis thaliana (thale cress) is the source of this 237-nucleotide long non-coding RNA. RefSeq annotates it as other RNA. NCBI's taxonomy places the organism in Eukaryota, Viridiplantae, Streptophyta, Magnoliopsida, Brassicales, Brassicaceae. The transcript has a single exon. The record is from RefSeq.